Molecule: ribosomal RNA, 495 nt
Filed under: uncultured bacterium
Lineage: Bacteria
Description: partial 16S ribosomal RNA
Rfam family: Bacterial small subunit ribosomal RNA
Source: RNAcentral
ACGCACGCUGGCGGCGUGCCUCAUACAUGCCAGUAGAACGCUGAAGAGAGGAGCUUGCUCUUCUUGGAUGGGUUGCGAACGGGUGAGUAACGCGUAGGUAACCUGCCUUGUAGCGGGGGAUAACUAUUGGAAACGAUAGCUAAUACCGCAAACAAUGGAUGACACAUGUCAUUUAUUUGAAAGGGGCAAUUGCUCCACUACAAGAUGGACCUGCGUUGUAUUAGCUAGUAGGUGAGGUAAUGGCUCACCUAGGCGACGAUACAUAGCCGACCUGAGAGGGUGAUCGGCCACACUGGGACUGAGACACGGCCCAGACUCCUACGGGAGGCAGCAGUAGGGAAUCUUCGGCAAUGGGGGCAACCCUGACCGAGCAACGCCGCGUGAGUGAAGAAGGUUUUCGGAUCGUAAAGCUCUGUUGUAAGUCAAGAACGGGUGUGAGAGUGGAAAGUUCACACUGUGACGGUAGCUUACCAGAAAGGGACGGCUAACUACGUG